Molecule: long non-coding RNA, 511 nt
Filed under: Helianthus annuus (common sunflower)
Lineage: Eukaryota; Viridiplantae; Streptophyta; Magnoliopsida; Asterales; Asteraceae
Description: hypothetical non coding rna
Source: RNAcentral
UCCAAGGUUUGUAUAGGUUCUAUUUUUACCUUAUUUACAAUCUUAUUCGUCAUGGUUUAUUUUGAACUUUUCAUAAGAUAAACUACUUAUUUGGGCAUAGCAUGCCUUAUUAAAAUUCCAUUUAUAUACAAGUUCACAUACCUCACGGGAGAUCACUCAAUCACUCGGCCGAGGGUGUAUAUUUAAGUGAAUCGCUCGAGAGCGGCACGGAUUUACAUUUUCCAUAUGCUUGCCAAGCGAUCAAUCCUCCUCCUUUUUAACUUUUUACCUUUGUAAAUAUCAAGAGGUCUUUUGGGGUGAAGGCUUGGGUUUAAAGGUGGGUGGUUGGUUAGUGGUUAGUAAAAGGGCGAAAAUCGUAACAAAUGUCGGUUUUCGUGAAAUACCUUUUUUUUUUUUUUUUUUUUUUUUUUUUGGUGACAUUUAUUUUUGAAGUAUUUCUCCAAACAAGCUUUUUGUAGCUUAUGUUUGUAUGUUUAUGAAAAACCGAGUUUGUCACUAAAAUAAAGGUGAA